AACGAACGCUGGCGGCAUGCCUAACACAUGCAAGUCGAACGAGACCUUCGGGUCUAGUGGCGCACGGGUGCGUAACGCGUGGGAACCUGCCCUUAGGUUCUGAAUAACUCCCCGAAAGGGGUGCUAAUACCGGAUAAUGUCUUCGGACCAAAGAUUUAUCGCCUUUGGAUGGGCCCGCGUUGGAUUAGCUAGUUGGUAGGGUAAAAGCCUACCAAGGCGACGAUCCAUAGCUGGUCUGAGAGGAUGAUCAGCCACACUGGGACUGAGACACGGCCCAGACUCCUACGGGAGGCAGCAGUGGGGAAUAUUGGACAAUGGGCGAAAGCCUGAUCCAGCAGUGCCGCGUGAGUGAUGAAGGCCUUAGGGUUGUAAAGCUCUUUUACCCGGGAUGAUAAUGACAGUACCGGGAGAAUAAGCUCCGGCUAACUCCGUG
RNAcentral lists this ribosomal RNA (433 nucleotides) under uncultured bacterium. RNAcentral's name for it is "partial 16S ribosomal RNA". It matches the Rfam family "Bacterial small subunit ribosomal RNA", at positions 29 to 507 of the family's 1533-position model. The record is from RNAcentral.